Molecule: ribosomal RNA, 1440 nt
Filed under: Sphingobacterium bovisgrunnientis
Lineage: Bacteria; Pseudomonadati; Bacteroidota; Sphingobacteriia; Sphingobacteriales; Sphingobacteriaceae
Description: bacterial SSU rRNA
Rfam family: Bacterial small subunit ribosomal RNA
Source: RNAcentral
UGGCAAUAGGGCAGCUAUACAUGCAAGUCGGACGGGAUCUAAAAUUAAGCUUGCUUAAUUUUAGUGAGAGUGGCGCACGGGUGCGUAACGCGUGAGCAACCUACCCAUAUCAGGGGGAUAGCCCGGUGAAAAUCGGAUUAACACCGCAUGACACAGCGACUCGGCAUCGAGAUGUUGUUAAAUAUUUAUAGGAUAUGGAUGGGCUCGCGUGACAUUAGCUAGUUGGUAAGGUAACGGCUUACCAAGGCAACGAUGUCUAGGGGCUCUGAGAGGAGAAUCCCCCACACUGGUACUGAGACACGGACCAGACUCCUACGGGAGGCAGCAGUAAGGAAUAUUGGUCAAUGGAGGGAACUCUGAACCAGCCAUGCCGCGUGCAGGAUGACUGCCCUAUGGGUUGUAAACUGCUUUUGUCCAGGAAUAAACACCUCUACGUGUAGAGGCUUGAAUGUACUGGAAGAAUAAGGAUCGGCUAACUCCGUGCCAGCAGCCGCGGUAAUACGGAGGAUCCGAGCGUUAUCCGGAUUUAUUGGGUUUAAAGGGUGCGUAGGCGGCCUAUUAAGUCAGGGGUGAAAGACGGCAGCUUAACUGUCGCAGUGCCUUUGAUACUGAUAGGCUUGAAUGUGGUUGAAGAUGGCGGAAUGAGACAAGUAGCGGUGAAAUGCAUAGAUAUGUCUCAGAACUCCGAUUGCGAAGGCAGCUGUCUAAGUCAUUAUUGACGCUGAUGCACGAAAGCGUGGGGAUCGAACAGGAUUAGAUACCCUGGUAGUCCACGCCCUAAACGAUGAUAACUCGAUGUUGGCGAUAUACAGUCAGCGUCUUAGCGAAAGCGUUAAGUUAUCCACCUGGGGAGUACGCCCGCAAGGGUGAAACUCAAAGGAAUUGACGGGGGCCCGCACAAGCGGAGGAGCAUGUGGUUUAAUUCGAUGAUACGCGAGGAACCUUACCCGGGCUUGAAAGUUACUGAAUUAUCUAGAGAUAGAUAAGUCCUUCGGGACAGGAAACUAGGUGCUGCAUGGCUGUCGUCAGCUCGUGCCGUGAGGUGUUGGGUUAAGUCCCGCAACGAGCGCAACCCCUAUGUUUAGUUGCCAGCAUGUAAUGAUGGGGACUCUAAACAGACUGCCAGCGUAAGCUGUGAGGAAGGUGGGGACGACGUCAAGUCAUCAUGGCCCUUACGUCCGGGGCUACACACGUGCUACAAUGGAUGGUACAGCGGGCAGCUACACAGUAAUGUGAUGCUAAUCUCGAAAAGCCAUUCACAGUUCGGAUUGAGGUCUGCAACUCGACCUCAUGAAGUUGGAUUCGCUAGUAAUCGCGUAUCAGCAAUGACGCGGUGAAUACGUUCCCGGGCCUUGCCCCCCCCCGUCAAGCCAUGAAAGUUGGGGGUGCCUAAAGCAUGUAACCGCAAGGAGCGUGUUAGGUAAAAACCCGAAAGUUUCC